CCCUUAGAUGUUCUGGGCCGCACGCGCGCUACACUGACGCAUUCAACGAGUCUAAAACCUGGUCUGAUAGGGCUGGGUAAUCUUUUGAAUGUGCGUCGUGAUUGGGAUAAAUGAUUGUAAUUCUUCAUUUUCAACGAGGAAUGCCUAGUAAACGCAAGUCAUCAGCUUGCAUUGAUUACGUCCCUGCCCUUUGUACACACCGCCCGUCGCUGCCCGGAACUGAGCCGUUUCGAGAAGACUGAGGAUUGCUGACUUGAGGCCUUCACGGGCUUCUAGUCGGUGAAAAUCAAUUUAAUCGCAGCGGCUUGAACCGGGCAAAAGUCGUAACA
RNAcentral lists this ribosomal RNA (329 nucleotides) under uncultured eukaryote. RNAcentral's name for it is "partial 18S ribosomal RNA". It matches the Rfam family "Eukaryotic small subunit ribosomal RNA", at positions 1470 to 1796 of the family's 1831-position model. The record is from RNAcentral.